Neopelma chrysocephalum (saffron-crested tyrant-manakin) is the source of this 310-nucleotide long non-coding RNA. RefSeq lists it as uncharacterized. The transcript has 3 exons. NCBI's taxonomy places the organism in Eukaryota, Metazoa, Chordata, Aves, Passeriformes, Pipridae. The record is from RefSeq and is a predicted model, not a curated record.
CCCCCCAAAGUUGGGGCACCCCUCGGAGCUGCCCCCCGAACCCGCCCCCGACUACGAGGGGGACGAGGAGUUCCUGCGCCGGGUUCACCACGUGCUGCUGGAGGUGGAGGUGCUGGAGGGGGCCCUGCAGUGCCCGGACUCGGGGCGGCGCUUCCCCAUCUCCAAAGGGAUCCCCAACAUGCUGCUGAGCGACGACGAGGCCUGAGGGGGGUCCCCAAUUUAUGGGGGGGGGGGGUCCCCCAGAGUGGGAUUGAGGCGUUGGAACCCCCCCCCAAAUAAAAGAGUUAUUUUAUUCGUGUGGAAGAAUCUC